This is a non-coding RNA of Pelobates cultripes (western spadefoot toad), 452 nucleotides long. Lineage: Eukaryota; Metazoa; Chordata; Amphibia; Anura; Pelobatidae. The record is from the annotation of a GenBank genome assembly.
CUUUACCUUGUGGAUUCUUUAAAAUCAGUCUCAUUAUUAAACUAAGUACAGCACAGGUAAGGAUGUAUAAUAUUUAUCACUUUGCCAGUUUGCCAUUACAUUACAUUAAAGCGACAUUAUCAUAAAAAUACAAUACUAUAACAAUAGUUAAUAAGUUAUAUUUUAUUUAAAGUGAUGCUGUUAAAAUGCAGAGUACUGUUGCUCUGUGUAUCAGUUAGAUACCUGUAGGGUUAAAUACCAAAAGUGUGAAUUCUUCACAACUGACCAAGGAAUUAGAUUUUUUCUUUCAUUUACUUAUAACAUCAUAACUCCCAACAUUUCGGAUGGACAUAAAAGGACACUUUAAUUCUAGUGCUGUAAGUGGGGCUGUGGCCAGGGGCGGGCUGGUCUGAGAAAUUUUAGGUGACUUACUAGUAACAUUUUAUGAAACUAAAAUGUAAUUUAGAACAAGA